UACGGAGUGUGCAAGCGUUACUCGGAAUCACUGGGCAUAAAGGGCGUGUAGGCGGGCUUUCAAGUCGGUUGUGAAAUCCCUCAGCUCAACUGAGGAACUGCAUCCGAUACUGUUUGUCUUGAGGACGAGAGGGGAGAGUGGAACUUCUGGUGGAGCGGUGAAAUGCGUAGAUAUCGAGAGGAACACCUGCGGCGAAGGCGGGUAGCUGGGCCGACACUGACGCUGAGGCGCGAAAGCUAGGGGAGCGAACGGG
Molecule: ribosomal RNA, 253 nt
Filed under: uncultured bacterium
Lineage: Bacteria
Description: partial 16S ribosomal RNA
Rfam family: Bacterial small subunit ribosomal RNA
Source: RNAcentral